This 138-nucleotide small nuclear RNA is filed under the name Myotis brandtii (Brandt's bat). Its description in RNAcentral is "U2 spliceosomal RNA". It matches the Rfam family "U2 spliceosomal RNA". Rfam says of the family: U2 is a small nuclear RNA (snRNA) component of the spliceosome (involved in pre-mRNA splicing). Complementary binding between U2 snRNA (in an area lying towards the 5' end but 3' to hairpin I) and the branchpoint sequence (BPS) of the intron results the bulging out of an unpaired adenosine, on the BPS, which initiates a nucleophilic attack at the intronic 5' splice site, thus starting the first of two transesterification reactions that mediate splicing. The record is from Rfam by way of RNAcentral. Lineage: Eukaryota; Metazoa; Chordata; Mammalia; Chiroptera; Vespertilionidae.
AUCGCUUCUCGGCCUUUUGGCUAAGAUCAAGUGUAGAAUAUUUCAGACCAAAUAUAAUUCUUAGUGCACAGGAACACAAUGAAAACUAUUUACUAUGGUUGUGAAAAUUUGAACUUAUCAAAAGUUGAGUAACCUUUU